AUAAAUUUCUUCUGACCCAGUUAUAUUAUAGCCAACUCAUCUGAGUUGAAUUUUAGAUUAACUCAUCGAUUGCACUUAAUGGACUGGAUCAGGCCAUUAAAAAGCAACUAAAGUGGGCCAUGAUUGGGCUUGUUGAACUUGGCAACUCACCCUCACCGGAAUAAAAAGAAAUAACGAUCUUUGUAGAGCUUGAGGAAGAAAGAAUCAUGAAACAAUCGAGAGUUAACUAAUCUCUCGCUCCCCUUCAGAGAUGUAUGUGUUUGGAGACACUGAUCUUCAGCAGCCUUCUUUCAGAUCAAACAGGUUUGUCGUUGAGAUCCAUGUUGAUAUCAGGUCUGGAGAUGGUGAAAUCAGUGUAAAGCUUCCCUAACAUGCUCGGUAUCAGCCUCUUGAAGAGAGUGGAUACUUUAGAGUGGAGUUUGGAGAGCCAGACUUGUUCCUUUGCUCAAGACAUGUACCAAACCAGGGACAAGAACAAAGAAGAUGAUUGGUUCUGUCCAUUGCUGGAUCGAAAACCGAAACCAGAUCCCUUGUCUUGGGAAAUCCCUCCCUGCUGGAACCAAGAAUCAUACAGAGUACAUAUCUGUUAUUACAUUUGUGGCUGCGGCUCUAUCUGCGUUUUCGAUCAUUGUUGCAUCUGCCUUGAGCUCAAUGGUUGAAACUUGCAAGAAUACAAAGCAGUCAUGAAUCAGCUUUUGGUCUUCUUUGUAAUUUUGUUUCCUCUCAAAUCUCAAUACCAUUCGG
Long non-coding RNA from Brassica napus (rape), 744 nucleotides. RefSeq lists it as uncharacterized. The record is from RefSeq and is a predicted model, not a curated record. Lineage: Eukaryota; Viridiplantae; Streptophyta; Magnoliopsida; Brassicales; Brassicaceae. The transcript has 2 exons.